Molecule: long non-coding RNA, 2926 nt
Organism: Sceloporus undulatus (fence lizard)
Lineage: Eukaryota; Metazoa; Chordata; Lepidosauria; Squamata; Phrynosomatidae
Exons: 4
Source: RefSeq, a predicted model, not a curated record
AAAAGAGAUUCCACCUGAACAUUAGGAGGAACUUCCUGACAAAAACAGCGAGAAGACAAGCACCACGUGCUGAGAGAUGGUCAACUGUUUAAUCAGUAUUUCUGAAUAUGUGGUGCCUUCAAGUCUUUUUGGACUUGUGGCGAGCUUAAGGUGAACAUAUCAUGGGGUUUUCUUGGAAAGAUUUGUUCAGAGGAGGUCAGCCGUAAGAGGUACAUAUUUUUAAAUGAUUGGUAUUAUAGCAGGUGAUUGACCCCCAGGUCCUAGCUCUUUAUAAAUAUAUACCUUUACUUCUUAUUAGUCUUAUUAGUUUACUGGAGACCAGUGCAGAGAUUUCCAAGCAAGUAUAUUCCCACUCCUCCUGCCAGCAUCUGGGCAGCAACCUUCUGGAGCAGCUGCAGUUUCCAGACAGCCCUGAAAGUAAGACCCACACAAAGUGCAGUUCAUCUGGCAAAUGUGGAGUUCUAGAGGACUGAAAAGCAGCUUCUGCAACACUGUUGAUUUAUUCCUAGGGAAAUUGAGCAAGUAUUGGUUGUCAUGCAAUCAGGUAACAAGCAACACCCGAUAAAAUUCCCUCUUUCUCAGAACCGUUAAAGGUACAUGAGUUGUUCCUAGUUUUCAUUGUGGCAACUUUAAUGGUUAACAAACAGGUCGCUUUCAGUAGUUCAGAUUGGUACAAAUAGCAGCUCUCUUUCCAGUACAAAUUGCAAAUACAAGGCUCUAAUCUGGAUUAGGAUUAUAGUGAUGUUGGGCAUAUGCACCUGCUGUUUACAUUCAAAUAAUAAUCCAAUUGGUAAUCACAUAAAAGGCAUCUUUUUGGCCCAGGAUAAGACUGAAAAAAGCUACAAGUAAUUAUUUCAAUGUUAAUUACUGUUGAUGCAACAGAAUAUCAGGCAAACAAGAACUAUGCAACAUACAGCGCUAAAAGACUCCUAUUUAUUGCUUAAAAUGAAUUCAGUUUAGUGGGACUUUAAUUUUUAUUGGAUAUUAAACCAAAAACAGAUUUGGGAGAAAGUGUAUUAGGGAUGGACAUUUGGGUACCAUUAAGAUAUAAAUAGAGCCAAAGUAAUAUCCACAGCUUGAAAAUAUUCCAAAAAACAAAAUUUGAUUUUGUUAUUUUAUAUAGUUGUCCUUUUUUGCAGUGAUCUGUUUUGGACGCCUCUGCAGAUAAGAAAAAACGCAGGACCUCAAGUCUCGUUGUCCCCAAUUGCCUGAGAAAUGUGUGUGUGGCCACUAGCAGAGCUGCAUGCACAUGCCUCUAUUGAAAACAGUGGGGCUUGCCAUCCACUGAUACUCAGCUCCAUGGAUGGCAAGCCUUCAGAAGGCAAGAUCCCACUGUAUAAAGGACACUGUUUUACUGUGACAUUGUAUUUAAUGGAAUUUGAGCAUCCACAGAUAUUGGUAUCCAUGGGUGGGGGGGUCCUAGAACCCAGCCCCAAUAGAUACCAAGGGACCACUGUAGUGACAUGCUGAAAUUGUUGCAAAAUUAGAAACAAGAAGAGCAGAGAUAAAGUAAGGUGGGGUGGAUGGAAACAGGACCAGCAACGGAAAAGCAAGGCAAAGGGGGUAGAGAAAAGGUGUUGAUAUUGAGCAUGGUUGUCUUCCUACCACAGUAGACAGUAGGAAAAACCUAAAUGCCCUUCAUGGAACGAUUUUUUUAUCUGGACAUCUAAUUUAAAAAAUAUCAAUGUCUAAGGCAAAUUAUGAAAAACAAUAGACUUUGUGGAACCUUAAAUGCUAAUACAGUAAUUGUAUUUGUAACUAGAAUGGUGCAAAGGACCCAAAAUAUGUCAUAUGUGCCACAAUGCCCCCUAGAGGGCAUUUGGAGACAAGAAAAUUAUAAAUUUAAGCCCUGGGGGCUCCUAAGGGCUACACUGUGUUUACUACCUCUUGGUCCAAUGGAACAAAGGCAUACAGUGGCAGAAUGGAAGAGAGGACUGAGUUGCAGAAGUACUUUAUUUCUGUCAACAUUGUUACUUGUGGGUUUGAGUAUGACACUUAGCUACCUUAGGAGAAGUGAAGAAGGUCACAGCAAAAAUAUCUUAGACUUUUGCUGUGAUUUAAAAGGAAUGGUAGUGUAGUGGGUGCAGGCAGAAUAACCAAGUGCUGCUGGGGUGUAUUUUACACCAUCUGUCUUUCUUUGGCCAUAUCCCAGGAUACCUUGGAAACAGCUGUCCCUCAGGCGCCAUCUGCAACAUGAAGAUAAUAAUAUUGACUAACUGGUGUAUGGAUAGUUAAGAUGUUAUAUCAGAAGCACUUCGAAUACUAAAUGCAUAAUAAAUGCACAUUUCAAUAUAUGUAUCCAAGUUUCUCAAAUGACAUGGCUGAUUCUUAUAUGUGGACACAUGUUUUACCCUCACAACCAUCUUCUUGAGGUUAUUUUGGCUGAGAAAUAGCAGCAGCCAAUAUCAUCUAGUGAGCUUCACAACUGCAAUUAAACCUUUGAUCCUUCUGGUUCUUGUCCAUCAACUCUGACCACUUCAGUAUGCUAUUUCUGUCUAUAAGUGCACCAUCAUAUUGUUGUUAUGAAAGGAUAGUUAGUAUCUCAUUGAAGGGAAAGCAAUUAUCUAUAUCGUCCUGUUUGAGCAGGAUGAGCACGGAGUAGUAUCCCUUUUAAUAUAUUGUUUCAAACGGCUUCUUUUACAAUUCAUAUGCAGUAUCUUGCAGGCAUGAACUGCAAAUGGGCAAAGGGUCCUGUGUAAACCUUGCAGCUGUGGAACAACAGAACAGUUCCUCUUAUGAAUUCGUAACUGGCUCAAAAAUGGGAAGUUGCAAGUAGGAAAUAUAUGGAGCAUUCUUCCAGCAGAAGGAGAAGACACGGAUGUGAAACCCCUGGUUGCUAAUUCCACACACUGGAGUAAUUUGUUGUUUUUCCAUGAGGGAAAGGUACUCUGAAUGUUGAGCGUACAUGACUAUAAUGUCAAGUUAC